AACGUGGCGAAAGGGUGAGUAACGGAUAGACAAUCUACCCUCAACACCGGGAUAAUCCAUCGAAAGGUGAAGUAAUACCGGAUGGUAUACUGUUUCUACGGAGACAGUAUUAAAGGGGGCUUCGGCUUCCGGUUGAGGAGGAGUCUAUUUCCUAUUAGCUUGUUGGUGCGGUAACGGCGCACCAAGGCUGUGAUGGGUAGGGGGCCUUAGCGGGUGGCCCUCCACACUGGGACUGAGACACUGCCCAGGUUCCUACGGGAGGCUGCAAUCGAGAAUCCUCCGCAAUGGGCGAAAGCCUGACGGGGUGACGCCGCGUGACCGAUGAAGGCUCUUACGGGUCGUAAAGGUCUUACAGGGAGUAUGAAAUAUACUGGGGCUAAUAUCUCCAGUAUUUGACGUCAAUCUCAAAUGAAGUCACGGCUAAAUUUGUGCCAGCAGCCGCGGUAAGACAAAUGUGGCAAGCGUUGUUCGGAAUCACUGGGCAUAAAGGGCACGUAGGCGGCGUAGUAAGUUAACUGUGAAAUCCCCCGGCUCAACCGGGGAACUGCAGUUAAUACUGCUGUGCUAGAGUGCAGAAGAGGAGAGUGGGAUUCUAGGUGUAGCGGUGGAAUGCGAAGAUAUCUAGGAGAAGGCCGGUGGCGAAAGCGACCCUCUGGUCUGUUACUGACGCUGAGGUGCGAGAGCGCAGGUAGCGAACGGGAUUAGAUACCCCGGUAGUCUGUGCCGUAAACGAUGGGCACUAGAUGGUGGAGGCGCCGAUAGCUUUCUCCGUCGCAGCUAAUACGUUAAGUGCCCCGCCUGGGGAGUAUGGCCGCAAGGUUAAAACUCAAAGGAAUUGACGGGGGCCCACACAAGCGGUGGAGGAUGUGGCUUAAUUCGAGGAUACCCGUAAAACCUUACCGAGGCUUGACAUGCAGGUGGUAGUGAAGUGAAAGCGGAACGACCCGAAUAGGGAGCCUGCACAGGUGCUGCAUGGCUGUCGACAGCUCGUGUCGUGAGAUGUUAGGUUAAAUCCCGUAACGAGCGAAACCCUUGUGAUUAAUAGCCAGCGCGUUAUGGCGGGGACCUUAAGCAGACUGCUCCGGCCAACGGGGAGGAAGGUGGGGAUGAUGUCAAGUCAGCAUGUCCUUUAUGCCUGG
RNAcentral lists this ribosomal RNA (1139 nucleotides) under uncultured organism. Its description in RNAcentral is "bacterial SSU rRNA". It matches the Rfam family "Bacterial small subunit ribosomal RNA", at positions 92 to 1211 of the family's 1533-position model. The record is from RNAcentral.